AGAAAGAUAAGCUAACUAAGCUAAUGGGUUCAUACCCCACUUAUAGGGGUAAGAACUCACACCCCCCUUCUUCCUA
Molecule: transfer RNA, 76 nt
Filed under: Atelura formicaria
Lineage: Eukaryota; Metazoa; Arthropoda; Insecta; Zygentoma; Nicoletiidae
Description: tRNA-Met
Source: RNAcentral